Molecule: long non-coding RNA, 714 nt
Organism: Prosopis cineraria
Lineage: Eukaryota; Viridiplantae; Streptophyta; Magnoliopsida; Fabales; Fabaceae
Exons: 2
Source: RefSeq, a predicted model, not a curated record
UCGAUCGGCCACUCUCAGUCUCUCAUUCCUUCCCAGAAAAUCACUAUCUCAGUCGCUCAUUAUUCUGACCCAGAAGAUGAGUUACUUUUUCUACUUGGUCAAUCACUAUCUCAGCCGUGUUCUUGAUUUUGCUCUAACAUUCUUGGGUGAUACUUCGUUUCAUCUUCUGUUCCUGUUCCGAAUGGCUGAAAGGGUUUCUUUUUGCAAGAAGAAGGCAUACUCGUAGUCGGCGUAGUAGGCGUAGAUGUCGUCGUCUAAUGUUAUCUAUUUUAGUCAUCUCCUGCUCCCUUUCUCCCUUGUUCUUCUACGUCAUUUUCCGAUUAUUUUGACGCUUGUAAAAGGUAUAUUCUGAGGUGUGUUCUUUCCUUUCUAAUCAUCCAAUUUCUCAUCUGCCUCGUUCUUCAUCUUCUGUUUACGAAGGGCUUCUUGUAGAAUUUGUUCAGCCGAAGCAAACGUUCCCUCUGAUCAUAGCCACUUUCUUUUUCAUCUCCAAGAAGAGGAAGAUAUCAACGACGAAGGCAGAGAUUUUCUUUAAAAUGGAUGCAGAUUUUUACAUGUUACUGUAAUGCCUCAUUAUGCCUUAUUCAAAUACACUGUGUGAAGAUUUUAUAUUUUUUCUUGAUGAACAGAAUAUGGAUAUGCUCGAUUAUGGGCCACAAUGAGUGUAAUGCCAAAAUAUAAUGUUGCAUUUUGAAGUCUCAGUUGAGAAGUUAA